This 876-nucleotide ribosomal RNA is filed under the name Aneurinibacillus aneurinilyticus. RNAcentral describes it as "bacterial SSU rRNA". It matches the Rfam family "Bacterial small subunit ribosomal RNA", at positions 1 to 870 of the family's 1533-position model. The record is from RNAcentral. Lineage: Bacteria; Bacillati; Bacillota; Bacilli; Caryophanales; Paenibacillaceae.
UUUUAUAGUUUGAUUCCGGCUCAGGACGAACGCGGGCGGCGUGCCUAAUACAUGCAAGUCGAGCGGACCAAAGAAGAGCUUGCUUUUCGGCGGUUAGCGGCGGACGGGUGAGUAACACGUAGGCAACCUGCCUGUACGACUGGGAUAAUUCCGGGAAACCGGAGCUAAUACCGGAUACGUUUUUCAGACCGCAUGGUCUGAAAGAGAAAGACCUUUGGUCACGUACAGAUGGGCCUGCGGCGCAUUAGCUAGUUGGUGGGGUAACGGCCUACCAAGGCGACGAUGCGUAGCCGACCUGAGAGGGUGAUCGGCCACACUGGGAUUGAGACACGGCCCAGACUCCUACGGGAGGCAGCAGUAGGGAAUCUUCCGCAAUGGACGAAAGUCUGACGGAGCAACGCCGCGUGAACGAUGAAGGUUUUCGGAUCGUAAAGUUCUGUUGUUAGGGAAGAACCGCCGGGAUGACCUCCCGGUCUGACGGUACCUAACGAGAAAGCCCCGGCUAACUACGUGCCAGCAGCCGCGGUAAUACGUAGGGGGCAAGCGUUGUCCGGAAUUAUUGGGCGUAAAGCGCGCGCAGGCGGCUUCUUAAGUCAGGUGUGAAAGCCCACGGCUCAACCGUGGAGGGCCACUUGAAACUGGGAGGCUUGAGUGCAGGAGAGGAGAGCGGAAUUCCACGUGUAGCGGUGAAAUGCGUAGAGAUGUGGAGGAACACCCGUGGCGAAGGCGGCUCUCUGGCCUGUAACUGACGCUGAGGCGCGAAAGCGUGGGGAGCGAACAGGAUUAGAUACCCUGGUAGUCCACGCCGUAAACGUUGAGUGCUAGGUGUUGGGGACUCCAAUCCUUCAGUGCCGCAGCUAACGCAAUAAGCACUCC